UAAGACAGAGGUGGCAAGCGAUGUCCGGAAUUACUGGGCGUAAAGAGCGCGUAGGUGGCUAGAUAAGUCCGGUGUGAAAUCCUUCGGCUUAACCGGGGAAUGGCAUCGGGGACUGUUUAGCUAGAGGACGGGAGAGGAGAGCGGAAUUCCCGGUGUAGCGGUGAAAUGCGUAGAGAUCGGGAGGAAGGCC
Molecule: ribosomal RNA, 190 nt
Filed under: uncultured bacterium
Lineage: Bacteria
Description: partial 16S ribosomal RNA
Rfam family: Bacterial small subunit ribosomal RNA
Source: RNAcentral